ACGGAGGGUGCGAGCGUUAAUCGGAAUUACUGGGCGUAAAGCGUGCGUAGGCGGAUGGGUCAGUCCUCCGUGAAAGCCCCGGGCUUAACCUGGGAACGGCGGUUGAGACGGCCCGUCUUGAGUGGGCUAGAGGAUCGUGGAACUCCCGGUGUAGCGGUGAAAUGCGUAUAGAUCGGGAAGAACACCGAUGGCGAAGGCAGCGAUCUGGGGCCACACUGACCCUUAUGCACGACGGCUUGUGUAGCAUACAGGAUUAGUUUCCUGGUACUCCACGCGGUUAACGUUGAGCCCUACACGU
Molecule: ribosomal RNA, 298 nt
Filed under: uncultured Candidatus Competibacter sp.
Lineage: Bacteria; Pseudomonadati; Pseudomonadota; Gammaproteobacteria; Candidatus Competibacteraceae
Description: partial 16S ribosomal RNA
Rfam family: Bacterial small subunit ribosomal RNA
Source: RNAcentral